AUGGCUCCGCUACAAAAAAGUCAUCUUUAAUUUCAAUGCAGUCUUCACCAGAAUUCCAAUGACCUGCUUCAGGGAACUAGAAAAACAAAACAACAACAAAAAUCCAAACUUAAAAUUCAUAUGAAAACACAAACAAUGCUAAAUAGUCCACAAAGCAAUCCUGUGCACACACAAAGCAAUCCUGUGCACACACAAAGCAAUCCUGUGCACACACAAAGGAAUCCUUUGCACAUACAAAGCAAUCCUGUGCACACACAGCAAUCCUUUGCACAUAAAGCAAUCCUGUGCACACACAGCAAUCCUUUGCACAUAAAGCAAUCCUGUGCACACACAAAGCAAUCCUGUGCACACACAAAGCAAUCCUGUGCGCACAGCACUUAAUUCCUGACUUUAAAUUAUAUGACAGAACCACAGUAAAACUACCAGCAUGGUACUGACACAAAGACAGAUGUGUAGACCAAUGGAGUAGAAAAGAAGACCCUGAAAUAAAUCUACAGAGCGGCAGCUGUCUGAUUCUUGGCAAAGAUGGCAAAAAGUGGAUGCUGGAGUAGAUAUGGCUUCUUCAAGUUCAGGGAGGAAAACCUGGAUUCAGAUGGAGACUCAGUCCUCAUCCUAUACAGCAUCAACUCAAAAUGGACCAAGCAACUUCAUGUAAGACCUAAACCAAACCCUGCAGGAAGGCAGAGGAAAGGGGUAGAGACCUUGGCAUAUGCCAUGACUUUCUGAGGAGGAUAUAAACAGAUACAGAAAUCACGACAUCAGCUAUGGAACUGCACAGGAACCAAAACACUGGAGUAAGGAGAUGGCGUGAAGAAUUCAUGUGUGUGUGCACUCGGAGGGUGCCUGAUGUCCAGACUACAUAAGGAACUAAAUAACUACCAAAAGGACAAACCAUUCCACCAGCAAAUGGUCAAAUAAACAAAGCAAACACUUUUCAGAAGAAGUAAUCAAUGCACAAAGGGGUCCAACAUCUUUAGAAACUGGGAAAAUGAAAUCAAAUGUUAUCUAUUGAGAGGCUAUCAUCCCAGUUGGAAUGACUCUACCAUCAAGAAAACGAAAGAUCAGUGAGGAUGUAGGGAAGGGACAAUAAACACUCUGGCAUAAGGGUAAAUUAGUGGAGCCACUGUGGGAGCAGGUGCCAAUGUCUGAACUACUAACCCUGAGCUAUUGUAUUGCAUUUCUGGGUCUAUACCCCAGGAGUCAAAGUCUGCUUUUUGUAGAGCCACCUGCACACAGGGUCUAUUGCUACACUGUUCACUGGCUACACUGUAGCCAAAUUAUAGAAGCAGCCUAGAUAUGGAAGUGCAACAGUUGAUAAUGAAAAUGUGGCCUAUUACAAGUGGAGUUUCCUUAAACCACAGCAAAGAAUGAAUGGCACUUGGAGAUCAUCCUAUUAAGCAAAACCAGGGAGUAGCUAUCACAUAAGGGCUAUGGGAAAACAUGAGUGCAACCAUUGGGGAAGAACAGGAAGGGCAACAGACAGAGGGCUGCACAGGGCAAGAUUAUUACAUACUGUAACAAUUUCCCAGACUUUAAUAGAACUGACUCCACGAUGGAAGCACCAUUCGGGCUAUGAAACUCAGCAUGCAGACAACACCAUCUGCCAAAAUAAAAACAAAGACCUUAUUCAUCAAAGCCGUAGUUGUGGGGAAGUGUCUGAAUGUCCUACCCUUGCCUUUUGGCUUCUGUAGUUCUGCUUCUGGCUAACUGUUCUUGUUAACUGAAAUAUGUAAACUCGGAAUAGCCUUUUCUGUGCUUAAAAGCUCACCCCGAGAAAAGCCUGGGGCUACACUGGGAUACCAAACACCAAGUAUAGUCACUAGCUGGAUAAUAGACUUUCUAUUGGCUUAAACCCAUGUCUGAGUAUUCUUAGGAAAACACCCACCUCAUGACAAAACAUGUAUGAAAAUGUCACAAAACCUCUUCUUUUGUCUACUGGGGACACAAAGGUCCUUGCACUCAGAGAGCACUAGGGAACCAGGAAUGUUAAACAUACAAGGGUCCUCCUCAAAGGAGGAGAUA
This 2022-nucleotide long non-coding RNA is filed under the name Mus musculus (house mouse). RNAcentral's name for it is "long non-coding RNA chr17:13024642-13026664". Lineage: Eukaryota; Metazoa; Chordata; Mammalia; Rodentia; Muridae. The record is from RNAcentral.